GAAUGUAUGAGAAUACUACUUGGAUAACCGUAGUAAUUCUAGAGCUAAUACAUGCAACGACGCCCGACCGUUUCACUACGGAAGGGCUGUAUUUAUUGGAUACCAAAACCAUCCUUCCCUCGGGAAGUUUUGUUUGAUGAUUCACAAUAACUGAUCGGAUCGCCACUGUGGUGGCGACAGGUCAUUCAACAUUCUGCCCUAUCAGCUUUCGAUGGUUGUGUAGUGGACAACCAUGGCCAUAACGGGUAACGGAGAAUCAGGGUUCGAUUCCGGAGAAGGAGCUUGAGAAUUGGCUACUACAUCUAAGGAAGGCAGCAGGCGCGCAAAUUACCCAAUCCCGAUUCGGGGAGGUAGUGACAAAAAAUAACAAUACCGGGCCUUUUUGGGCUUGGUAAUUGGAAUGAGGGAGAGUUAAACGGACCAUCGAGUAUCCAUUGGAGGGCAAGUCUGGUGCCAGCAGCUGCGGUAAUACCAGCUCCAAUAGCGUAUAUUAAAGUUGUUGCAGUUAAAAAGCUCGUAGUUGGACUUGUGUGCGCUGUCCGCGGGUGGCCUGCGCCCAAAAGGGCGUUUCGGUUCGGCCCCGGUGGCGCCUUGAAAUCUGCAGCUGGGGGGACGUUGGCCUUAACUGGUCGGCGACCGCACGCCGGCUGCUCGGUUACUGUGAGAAAAUUAGAGUGUUCAAGGCAGGCAUUGGGUGCAAUUGAAUACAUUAGCAUGGAAUAAUAAAAUAUGGCUCCUGCCGUAUUUUGUUGGUUUUGACUGGUGGGAGUAAUGAUUGAUAGGGACGGUUGGGGGUGCUAGUAUUGAGCGGCCAGAGGUGAAAUUCAUGGAUUCGCUCGAGACUAACUUAUGCGAAAGCAUUCACCAAGGACGUCCUCUUUAAUCAAGAACGAAAGUUGGGGGAUCGAAGACGAUCAGAUACCGUCGUAGUCUCAACCAUAAACUAUGUCGACUUGGGAUCGGCGGUAGUUUUUUUCAUUAAGACACUGUCGGGACCACGGGAGAAAUCAAAGUGUCUGGACUCUGGGGGAAGUAUGGUCGCAAGGCUGAAACUUGAAGGAAUUGACGGAAGGGCACCACCAGGAGUGGAGCCUGCGGCUUAAUUUGACCCAACACGGGGAAACUUACCAGGUCCAGAGAUGUAGGGGAUUGACAGAUUGAAGCUCUUUCUUGAUCACUUCGGUGGUGGUGCAUGGCCGUUCUUAGUUGGUGGAGUGAUUUGUCUGGUUAAUUCCGUU
This 1238-nucleotide ribosomal RNA is filed under the name metagenome. Its description in RNAcentral is "SSU rRNA". It matches the Rfam family "Eukaryotic small subunit ribosomal RNA", at positions 119 to 1329 of the family's 1831-position model. The record is from RNAcentral.